Molecule: long non-coding RNA, 576 nt
Organism: Brienomyrus brachyistius
Lineage: Eukaryota; Metazoa; Chordata; Actinopteri; Osteoglossiformes; Mormyridae
Exons: 3
Source: RefSeq, a predicted model, not a curated record
CCUUGUGUUUAUUGCUAAGCUAGCUAUGUUCAUAAAGGCUGCCUUUUACCGCUUAGCUAAACGCGUCCCCACAUGUGCGGAGAUGGAGACGCACAAACUCAAACUCAUUACGGUACAAACGCAGCUGAAUAAAUCCAGAGAAUCCGGGGGGUUUAGCCUGGCGGGGGCUCAGUAAACAGACGCCAGGCAGCCCAGUUAGCUUAGCCAACGCCUCCGUCUCUGAACUCACAUUCGGUUACUUUGUGCUGAUCUUACAAAAGCAGCAUGACUCAAAUCCGCUCAGUCCUUCGGUUAUUACACUUUGGACCAGAAGUCCGGUUUCGUCAGAACGUGGCCCCACCAGGUACUGGCGGUGGAGAGCGAGCUGUGAGUCACAGUGAGGCGAGCCAGAGGAGGCGGUGGUGGGGCUGUCGCAGAUCUGCCGCGGCAGCAUCUCCCACCCGUCUGCACACAGAGGAAGUCGCAAAACCAUGUUGGUUUUGCAUCCCGGAUCUCAGAUUACAUAUCAGGAGCGUGUGGUUUUGUAAGAGGACUUACAGCAUUUAAACAUCAGGAUUAAUGUAAUCGCUUUAUAAC